This 1274-nucleotide long non-coding RNA is filed under the name Salvia miltiorrhiza (redroot sage). RNAcentral's name for it is "long non-coding RNA (SMIL_LNC000559)". The record is from RNAcentral. Lineage: Eukaryota; Viridiplantae; Streptophyta; Magnoliopsida; Lamiales; Lamiaceae.
UUAGAACCAUAUUUUCACUACCCUCGCAAAUACAGAGAAACUAUUGAAUCUCUUGCAAUAUUCCAAUUUUCUGAAACAAUCAAUCCACUUCUGUUUCAAUGACAAAGUGAUGAGAAAAAUGGCGUCUACGGUCUGAACUUGGAUUUGGAGCGUUUCGUGAAGCACUUUCUGGCCGUGAAAAAUUGAAGAGCAUCAUCGGCGGUCCACGGGUCCGGUAAGAAUCACUGUUAUUUCGAUUACUCCUUCCGUUUUUUUCAUUAAACUUCAGAAUUUCGAUUAAGGGCUGGUGCCUUAGAAAAUCAGUAAACCACCCACUGAUUUGAUUAUGUCGCUCGUCAGUUUUAGAAAUUGUGUCGAAUUUGUACAUUGGAAUUUCUACAAAAACGAUUUGCAAUUGUUGUACUGGUUGCUUGAUUUUCAUACCUUUGAUAAACUCCUGUAAAAAUUGGUUCUUUGUUUGCUUCUUCCUGUCCGGAUUCUCAAAUUUUCUGAAACAAAAGUUAUUAUUCUUGCUUGGAGUGUAAAUCUGCAGCACCAAUAUUUCUCCUUUUUUUCUUUUACCUUUUUGCAUAAGAUAGUCAUUUGUGUGAACAUGAAUACUUUUAGCUUGCACCGAUUAUGUGAGAUUCUUGCAUGGAUGAUUUGCAAUUUUUGAAAAAACUAUUUGAAUGGGAACGUCAAUCCAGAUACAUGAUUGGUUAGAUUGCCGAUUAAGAUGGAAAAAGUAAAAGUUGGAAGACAAACUAAUUACAUGUUUGGUCUGGUAAGGAUGAAAGGGACUAGCCUGGGAUAAAUGAUGAUUGGAACAUUAAUUUGCUGAUAAAUUUGAAUGGGAACUGAGAAUUAUCCACUGCAGUUCUGAGAAUACAUGGAAAAAGAAGUAUUGUACUUAGCUUUUACUGUUGAAUGACUGGGAUCAGAGAUUCAGUAGGCUAAUAUGUUAUAGUUUAAGGUUAUACAUUUCCAUGAUUGGGCAUUUAUUUACAAGGUUCAUUAACUUGGAAUUCGUAUUAUUUUUUGAACAAAUAUGCAGAAAAAAUAAGGAAAACCAGUUCAGCGAAGGAGAGGGUAACUAAGGUCAGUACACGCGCCUUAUUGCCAACUUUAAUAUGUUUGUUUUCAGGCCUGAUCGUUGCUUAUUCCCUUUGUGUGGUUGAAAUCUGUUGGGUUUUAAUUCUGCCAUUCUUGUAGCUGAAAUUAUAUUAUAUUACAAAAAGGGGCAUGAAUAUAUUGCUGACUUGAUUAUUUGGCUCUACAUAUCCGUCUGUUAUCAC